Long non-coding RNA from Dreissena polymorpha, 3249 nucleotides. RefSeq lists it as uncharacterized. The transcript has 6 exons. The record is from RefSeq and is a predicted model, not a curated record. NCBI's taxonomy places the organism in Eukaryota, Metazoa, Mollusca, Bivalvia, Myida, Dreissenidae.
AAAGCACUUUAAGCAAAGUAGCGUUAAAAGCGAUAUAUAAAGUUGAUUCUAUGCAAAUAAAGACCUGGAUAUUCCAAGUGAUCAAGACAUCUUAGGGGUACAAAAUAUUGUACGGUCAUACAUCCGGAAGAUGAUAUCGGCGGAAAUAGAAGCAUAGGAACAGAGCUCCAAGCACUACCAAAGCACCGUUGAAAUGGUAAAGGAGCUUUUGAAAAUAAAUGCCAAGUUCUUCGAGAGGCUUACUUAGAGGUUGAACUCUUUAUCGAGGGUGUGUCUGAACCAGAAUCCCGAUUAUACUUUGAAAAGGAAAAUAUUGUUCUUGACGCGCUGUGGGAUAUUGGAGGAUUUGUGAAAGAUUUCCUUACAGAAACUCCCAUAUAAAAUAUUGCAAUAUACAUUUCAAUUGGCGUGUUAGGUUUGUUGGCGAUUCCAGUUGGCAUUUGAAUAGUAACUAAACUACAGAAAGAUCUUGAAAAGUUCCACGAAGAAAGCUAGCUCUCAGUUUCUGGACAAAUGGCUUAGAGGGUCUUUGAAAGAUUUCCUGAAAAGAGAUUAUAUCAAUACACUGGUGCGUAAGAAUUAUCUCUCACGUUUAGAAGGUACCAUCGAUAUGAUGUGCGAACACAUCGUGCCAUUGUCAAUGAAAGCAAACAAGGUUUUGCUCGAUGAUCUGCUGAAAAAUACCCGCAGUUCUAAAACGAUUGUGGCAGAAUUUUCCCCUGUGCGAACCAGCGUGCAACAACAUAUUACACAUUUACGACUUUAUCAUUUAAAGUUCUUAGCACAUGAUACAUUUUACCCAACGAAAAUUAAAACGUUAGUCAAGAUUACUAGCGGUCAUUGUUCGGAUGUUUAUUCAGCUGAAUAUAUGAAAGCAGAUGUUACUAUCAGGAUUUUGAAUGCUCGCUCCUGCGAUCUGUUUUCUCACUUGGGCCACUUGGAAAUGUUAAGGAGAUUACAACAUUAGCAUAUUGUCAUAGGAGUAUGCUACACAGACAGGUUACCAGCACUUGUCGAAACAAAAGUACCGGAAACGAGCAGCUCCCGGCUAAUGUUUAUGUUUGAAAGAUGCGAUAAGACUCUUCAAGAUUACGUAUUUAGCACCCCGAAACUUCAGCGCGGAAACAUUGAACCGGGCUUGCGGAAAGAGGCGCUGCAAUUUUACAACCGAACAUCUCAAGUCAUAUGCACGGCAUUGCUCUAUCUACACGGAAAAGGAAAUCAUCACGGGCAACUGAAUCUUGGAAGCACUUUGUGGACAAACGGGAAGGUGAAAAUCCUAGAGCCUUCAGUUCCUAAUCAUGCAAUCAGAAUAGAUUGCACCAGGUUAAUGGCUCCAGAAAUUGUGUCGGUUGGGACGGUUGGCAAGGAAACGGACAUUUUCUAUUUAGGGACUUUAUUACGGGAGCUUUGGUAUGGACGACUAGCCGAUACCGACAGCCAAGUGGUUAAGAUAUCCUUGAAUCCACUGCCUCGUCGAAGCUGUGCCGCCAAACAACCGAUGCCAGAGGGGUUGGCACGUUGUGUAGAGAAAUGCUUGGAUUCCAGUCCAGAUAAGAGACCGAACGCAAGCAAGGUUCUGCAAGAAAUAAUAACACUGAUGUAACAGUUGGCGUCACUUGAAAGGUGUGCGUGUAUCAUUGCAGUCGUCUUAGGUUUUGCAUGUUAAACUUAUCUAUAUUGUAGAUGUACAGAUUAUGCAUCAUAUCGCUAUAUUUGAACAUUUUUGUAUACUUUUGUUUUUUAUAAAUACAUCAAUUUUCGGCGCAUUUAUUAAACAUUACCCAUGGCAUUUCUUACAUGGAAUCGAACGUUGGUUACUGAAUGUUUAUUGGUAUUUGUCCAAAAUUAAUAAAAAAAGGAACUGCAAAUUAAAAAUAAAUCCUUAUCACAAAUUGCAAAAAAAUAACUUAUUUUUUUUAAGAAAAACAAAACAAAACACACAAACAAACACUUACUUUAAACAAUCUCAGGCCAAUCAAUGCAUUGUAUUAUUAUGCUUCACUUAUUCCCGUAAAGUUGCAUCCAUCUACGAUAUUUCUUUUGCGAAAUUUGCGACGUCGAUUUCAUUUUUACACAUGCGCUUCACUCUUUUUCUGAAUAUUGGUUGCAAUCCCGUUUUUUUUAUUUAAUAUAUAAUGUUGUUUAUUUUCCUCGAAUAUACAUUUAUAUGAUUUGGCUCUAUUUUCAUUCAUUUUCACAUUAUUUUAAGAUACACAUGCAUGCUGUAUAUCUUGUAAGAGAUGCGUGGAUCGCCAGGAAAUGCAAAAUUGCUUACAUGUCACAAUUGUUACCUCAAUGUCAUCAAUUGAUAACAAAUACAAUUCAUUUCGUGACGGAGUAUAUGUACCGUCGUUUAGAUGGUGCGUUUGAUUAUAUCGAUCAUUUUAUCACAAAAUAAAUCGUAUGACAAACUGUAUUUAAAAUAGCUUUGUAGUUGUUAUGCACGUUUGUAAGUUUUCCGUAUUGCUUUCUAUACUGUAAUCAAAAUGGUCCAACGAUGAUCCCUGUGUUAUAUGUUUUAUAUGUUUAAUGGAUCAGACUAUUCGGAUUAUACGGAUUCCGAUUCGUUACAGACUUACCUUGUGCUAAGUUAUGUAAAUGUGUCUACUUUGUUUUGAAUUACAAUUUAUUUUGCUGUUUUUCUUUUCCAUUUGAGAUCAUUGUUUUAUCAGUUUGUGUCAUUUAUUGUAAAGAUAUUUAUUGUUAAUUGGAGGCAAUUGAAUCCUAACAUGGUGUCAUGUUCUACAUGAUUUUACAGCAUGCCAUAAAGUAUGCUUAUCUGGAAAUUAUCGAAAGUUACAUGGGAAUUUCGAUGUCAAGAAGUAAAUAAUGAAUAUCUAAUUGCACUGUCUCUACAACUAGAAUGUGAAUAUGUAUUAACAAGAAGAAGCGAUCUGCUGUGCGUAAAUGCUGUAUUUUAUGUGGAUACAUCCAUCGACCUAUACUAUGAAGUGCUAGUACAAUUGUGUGCAUAAUUUAACAAGUAAGACGAAUGCAUCCACUUAAAAUUUGCUUAUUUUGCUUGUAUCUGAUUAAUGUCCCACAUCUUCGAAAACAGGUGCCGUUUGCUAUUAAUUCAAAUAAUCCUAUGAAGUUAAAUAAAACUGCACCAAAUACGUAUUAUUUUUCUAUUAUUUCAAAUCGUUACAACAUUUACGUUGAUAGCAGUUUACUAGGUAUCAUGGAUUUUUUUAAUACAAACGAAGAACAUAAUUAUUUCAAAUUGAAUAAAAAUCCACAAGCUUA